GUGGGGAAUCUUCCGCAAUGGACGAAAGUCUGACGGAGCAACGCCGCGUGAACGAUGACGGCCUUCGGGUUGUAAAGUUCUGUUAUACGGGACGAAUGGUACGACGGCCAAUACCCGUCGUAAGUGACGGUACCGUAAGAGAAAGCCACGGCUAACUACGUGCCAGCAGCCGCGGUAAUACGUAGGUGGCAAGCGUUGUCCGGAAUUAUUGGGCGUAAAGGGCGCGCAGGCGGCGUCGUAAGUCGGUCUUAAAAGUGCGGGGCUUAACCCCGUGAGGGGACCGAAACUGCGAUGCUAGAGUAUCGGAGAGGAAAGCGGAAUUCCUAGUGUAGCGGUGAAAUGCGUAGAUAUUAGGAGGAACACCAGUGGCGAAAGCGGCUUUCUGGACGACAACUGACGCUGAGGCGCGAAAGCCAGGGGAGCAAACGGGAUUAGAUACCCGAGUAGUCC
Molecule: ribosomal RNA, 450 nt
Filed under: uncultured bacterium
Lineage: Bacteria
Description: partial 16S ribosomal RNA
Rfam family: Bacterial small subunit ribosomal RNA
Source: RNAcentral